Molecule: ribosomal RNA, 254 nt
Filed under: uncultured bacterium
Lineage: Bacteria
Description: partial 16S ribosomal RNA
Rfam family: Bacterial small subunit ribosomal RNA
Source: RNAcentral
UACGUAGGCAGCGAGCGUUUGUUCGGAGUUACUGGGCGUAAAGCGUGCGUAGGCGGUGUCUUAAGUUUGUUGUGAAAUCUCCCGGCUUAACCGGGAGGGUGCGGCGAAUACUGAGAUGCUGGAGUGCCGGAGAGGUAAGCGGAAUUCCUGGUGUAGCGGUGAAAUGCGUAGAUAUCAGGAGGAACACCUGUGGUGUAGACAGCUUACUGGACCAUCACUGACGCUGAGACGCGAAAGCGUGGGUAGCAAACAGG